GCGGCACCCUGUGGCAUAUGGAGGGUCCCAGGCUAGGGGUCGAAUUAGAGCUACAGCUGCCGGUCUAUACCACAGCCACAGCAACAUCAGAUCCAAGCCAUGUCUUUGACUUAUACCAUAGCUCACGGCAACGCUGGAUCCUUAAGCCACCGAGUGAGGCCAGGGAUCGAACCUGCAUCCUCAGGAUGUUAGAUUCAUUUCCAUUGAGCCACGACAGGAACUCCUAUACCGAGUAUUUUCAUUGACAUUAUUAACACCAUUAUGACUGAAUGGGUUUUUCAAAUACCUUAUAAAAAACGGAGAUGGGCCAGUAAAAGUUGUGAGGCCUCACUCCUACCCUCCCAACAUGGUAGUGUUGAACAAAGAAGAGAAAAACAAUGACUUGUCCCUCAGCCAUAGCCCCCACGCCCCAGCAGCCUUCAGGCCGGCUUGAAACCGACAGUUAUCCAGAGGUGUGGUGGUAAAAGGUAUGAGAUAGGAAAUAUCUCACCUUUUGGAGAAAAGAGGGGGACAGGCAAUUUAUGCCCAUGCCAAAAACUUACCCUCCCCCAUUUUAUAAUGGUGCCAUAUUUAGUUGUUUUUCUUAUUAAAAAUGAACACAUGCCCAUAAAAAUGCAACUUAUGUCCAGGUCUAUAAAGGAGAGGAGGGCCAAUUGAACUUGAGCUGGUGCCUAUCAGAAGUUGUAACCUCGUCAGAAAGAGGGGGACAAAGAAGCUUUUAUUUUGCUUGACACAGAUUUAAUAACAUCCCUGGAGAAACCGGUUGCAGUGUUAGAGAAUACUGUCUAAUUGCUGGGAAGGAUGUGACUGUUAAAGAUUUAAAUUAGGCAAAGCAACGGGCCCCGUGGUAGGUCCUCAGUAAAUGGUCACUGCUAUUUUCAACACUGUUUUCUUAAACACCCUCGGUAGAGUAUGCACUCCUGUGAAACAAACUUAAUUGAAUAGUGCCCUCCAGAGGCCACGGGGAUUCAACUGUGCUGACAGUUGGAAAAGACCAAAGAGAAACUCAGUUGUACGAGGACAAGGAAAUCAAGUGGAAACAAGCCUAGUUAGGCACCGUGGGAACGAGUGCUGGGAACUGCAAGUCCCCGAGCCCCUGGGAGCUCCUGUCCCAUCCCUCUCUCUCUGGGGACACUGUCUCUUGGCCCUGCAUCUCCACUCUGUGUUGCUCUAAUGGAACAUCAUCCUCUAGAAGUCUGCCCUUUUGUGACUUCAAGCAUGUAGCUCUGGCUCUGCCUGGACAUGAUUCUGGACUUGAGUCCGUUUGACCUUUCAGCUCAUCUCAAAGAACUAAGCAGAUUCAUCUCCGCUGGUUUGACUCCAGAGUCCCAGGACACAAACUAAUUACCAGUCUAGAGGUUGGGUUUACCUUAUCCAUCUCUGAUGCUGGAGGAAGGGGUGUGUGUGUGUGUGUGUGUGUGUGUGUGUGUGUGUGUAGGAGGAGGGAGAUAGGGCCAGGGUCACCUAGUACACAACAGAUAUAGCACACAGAGAAUAUAAAAACUAUAAGAGGCAUUUCAAAUAAUCUCCUAACAGUGAGCUAAUAUUGAUAGUGUUUACCAUGCACCAUCCAUCCUACUAAGAGCCUUAAAACAAUCAUCUCAUUUAAUCUCACAACCGUCCCAUGAAAUUUGAUCCUAUUAUCAUCUCCCACCUUCACAAGGAACUGUUGGUAACAAUGGUUGUAUAUACUUCAGUAAUCUGUUCAGUGCAUUUUAUUCUUAUUUUACAGAUGAGUGAACAGAGGCUUAGAGAGGUAGAGUUUAUUACCUGACUGGGGAGAGAUGAGAUUUACACAUGUGAAAUGAUGACUAAAUGACACGGGAGUGAUUAAGUGCCAAAUUGUGUGUUGCCACUGUAUUCAUUUUCAUUGCUGUGUAACACAUCCCCACAAAUAUAGAAGCUUUGGGGCAAGCCCAUAGGUCAAAUGUACAGCACCGAACAAUGGGGCUUUCUGCUGGGUGUUUCAUGAGACUGACAUCAAGGUGUUGGCUGGGGCGGCCAACAAUCUCAUCUGGGGCUCAGGGGCCUCUUCCAGGCUCGUUGGUUGUUGGCAGAGUUUAGUGCUCUCAGUUUUAGGAUGGCGAUCCCCAUUUUCCUGCUAGUCGUCAGUCACCAACUGCUCGCAGGUCCUAGAGUGGCACCUUUCCACGGCCAGUUCACACCAUGAGUAUUUGCUUUCCUUCGGGGCAGCUGGAGCACAUCCCCUUGGCUGCCCCUUCUGCUAUUAGCCAGACAACGCUCUCUGCUUUUCAAGGACUCCUGUGAUAAGGUCAGGCCCACCCUUCUUAAAGUCAACUGUGAUGUGAUAUAAUCGUAUCAUGACAGUAAAAUCCAUCCAAUUCACAGUCCGGGGGAUACCGGGCUGUGUACAAGGUGGGAGUGUGUGAAAUCCUGGGUGCCGUCUUAGAAUCCUGUGUAUUAUACCCCUGAAAAUAGAUUUUGUAUGCGCAGGUCAGAGCUAUUCCCAGGAGGGGGAGAAGGAAAGGUUUGUGUGUGUGUCUUGGUGGGGGUUAGGGUUGGACUGGGCGUUGGGCCUUGAAGGAUGGACCAUGCUGGAAAAGACAGCAUUCCUCUGAGAUGACGGCCUUAGAAACUCAACACCAUCAUUCAAGAUAAUUUGGGGAAAUCAAUGGGUAAGAAUUUCAAACAAUAUUAGAAAAAAAUUUCAGCACCAAGAUCAAGGAGGAAGCUGGUACUACUAGAUGUUAUGACAUGAUCAAAAUACUAAGUGAUGAGCAUGAAAAUAGACAUAUAGAUGAGAACAAAAACAGAACACCUCAAAAGAGAAAUGUAUUAUAUAUGUAUGUGUAUCAGAAUAAAUCAAGCGUCACAAAUGAACUGAAGAAAAUUGAUUAUUAAAAAAUGAUGUUUGGAUAACUACACAGAAACUUGGAAAAAAAAAGAGACAAAAUUUCCACUAUAAUUUGAAUAAUUCCACAAUUAUUCAAAAUAAAUGCCAGUGAAAUUAAAAUGUAAAUUAUAAAGAUAGAUUUAAAAUGCAAUCAUGAAAAUUGGGAGAAGAGAGUUUCAGGUCUUUGGGAGGAUAAGGACAUCCUAAGAUUAAAGCAGAUUAAAUUGCAAAGACAAUUACAAAGAACAAACUCAAACUCAUCCACAGAAAGAGUUAAAAUUUCUACACAGUAGUAACACAAAUUUAUUAAAAGAUUAAGGGGGGGACUUUUAACUGCAUAGGGAUUAAAAGAUUAAGACCUAUAAUAUCUAAACACAUAUUCCAAUGCUGAAGAUUAGAACUCCCACAAAGAGUAGACAAAAGACAUGAAUAGGUGAUUUAGACAACAGGUAAAAUAAGCUAGGAAAAAAAAAAAAAACUGGCGGAAAACUGUCAAAUUCUCUGAUUAAGUCAAUGCAAAUUAAAACUAUAAAAGUGAUCCCUAUUUCAAUGAAUUUAGUUCAGUUCUAUUAAACAUAAUUUUAAAUCAUAAAACCCAGUCCUGAAAUGAUCCUUGUACAGUGCACUCACACAUUUUUGGUAAAAGUAUAAUUGGGGCAAGCCAUUUGUGAAAAGAAAUUUGGUAAAAUGUCCUUCGAUGUAGUACCUUCAUUCUAGGAAAUCUGUCCCAGGAGCAUGAUUCAAAUGGCAAAAAAGUCCUGGUCACAAGCAUUUUAAAUGCAGGAUUACACAUAAUAUUGAAUAACCGAGAAUAACAGAAAGAGCAUACUUAACCUUUUAAAUUGUCAUUGAUGAUUGUGCUUAUGAAGACUAUUAAGGUGGAACGUGUUUGAAUACGUUACGUGGAAAAAGAUACUACUGAAUUCUGCCUAGAGGAUAACUCAAUAUUUUAAAAGUGUUUCUAUGGUAUUGGUGAAAUUAUCAGAAAAACAGUACUUUUACAUACUGUCAUUAGAAACACAAAUUAGUAUACCUUCUUGGGCAAAACAAUCUGCAAUGAGUAAAAUAUUUUAAACGCGAUGUGUGGAGUUCCCUUCAUGGCUCAGGGGUUAAUGAACCUGACUAGGAUCCAUGAGGUUGCGGGUUCCAUCCCUGGCCUCGCUCAGUGGGUUAAGGAUCCCGGUGUUGCCGUGAGCUGUGGUGCAGGCCACAGAUGGGGCUUGGAUCUGGCACUGCUGUGGCUGUGGUGUAGGCUGGCAGCUGUCGCUCUGUUUCAAUCCCUAGCCUGGGAGCUUCCAUAUGCUGCAGGUAUGGCCCUAAAAAGCAAAAAAUUAAACAAAACAAAAUAAAAUUAAAAAAAUAAAAAAUUAAAUGUGAUUUGUUUGCAGAUUCCACUUCUAGGACUGUAUCCUUCACAUAAACGUGCAUGUACACACAUAGAGACAUGUGAAUGUACGAUUUAUUGUAGAAUUGUUGACACAGCAAAGAUUGUACAAUGAAAAUGCCCACUGAUUGGUGACUAGGUAAAUAAAUCACAUUAGAACCUUUUAGUGGGAUAUUAUACCGUUGUUAAAAAGAAAAAGAGGGAAAACGAUAUGUUCUUCUGAUUGAAACAAUCUCUAAUAUAGGUUUUUAAAUUUAAAAAAAAUAGUUAAGAUGCAGAAUAAUGUGGAGACGGUGUGCCCCCAUUUGUAUAAAAGAAAAAUAACACAGAGAACCUGUAUAUGCUUAGAGAAUUCUUGGAAAGAUA
This 4604-nucleotide long non-coding RNA is filed under the name Sus scrofa (pig). RNAcentral describes it as "lncRNA (ENSSSCG00015069109.1)". The record is from RNAcentral. Lineage: Eukaryota; Metazoa; Chordata; Mammalia; Artiodactyla; Suidae.